RNAcentral lists this small RNA (16 nucleotides) under Arabidopsis thaliana (thale cress). RNAcentral describes it as "ATSL117940". The record is from RNAcentral. Lineage: Eukaryota; Viridiplantae; Streptophyta; Magnoliopsida; Brassicales; Brassicaceae.
AAAGAUAAAGAAAAAC